RNAcentral lists this ribosomal RNA (364 nucleotides) under uncultured eukaryote. Its description in RNAcentral is "partial 18S ribosomal RNA". It matches the Rfam family "Eukaryotic small subunit ribosomal RNA", at positions 592 to 975 of the family's 1831-position model. The record is from RNAcentral.
CAAUAGCGUAUAUUUAAGUUGUUGCAGUUAAAAAGCUCGUAGUCGGAUUUUGGCUGAGAACGAACGGUCCGCCGUUAGGUGUGCACUGUUUGGUCUCAGCUUCCUGGUGAGGAGGUGUGCUUCGCGGCCACUUAGUCACCGUGGUUACUUUGAAAAAAUUAGAGUGUUCAAAGCGGGCUUACGCUUGAAUAUAUUAGCAUGGAAUAACACCAUAGGACUCCUGUCCUAUUUCGUUGGUCUCGGGACGGGAGUAAUGAUUAAGAGGAACAGUUGGGGGCAUUCGUAUUUCAUUGUCAGAGGUGAAAUUCUUGGAUUUAUGAAAGACGAACUUCUGCGAAAGCAUUUGCCAAGGAUGUUUNCAUUG